UACGGAGGAUGCAAGCGUUAUCCGGAUUCAUUGGGUUUAAAGGGUGCGCAGGCGGAGAGAUAAGUCAGUGGUGAAAAACUGCCGCUCAACGGUAGUCUUGCCAUUGAUACUGUCUUUCUUGAGUAUGGAUGAGGUAGGCGGAAUGUGCAGUGUAGCGGUGAAAUGCUUAGAUAUUACACAGAACACCAAUUGCGUAGGCAGCUUACUGAGCCGACACUGACGCUGAGGCACGAAAGCGUGGGGAU
This 245-nucleotide ribosomal RNA is filed under the name uncultured prokaryote. RNAcentral describes it as "partial 16S ribosomal RNA". It matches the Rfam family "Bacterial small subunit ribosomal RNA", at positions 524 to 768 of the family's 1533-position model. The record is from RNAcentral.